RNAcentral lists this ribosomal RNA (439 nucleotides) under uncultured bacterium. RNAcentral describes it as "bacterial SSU rRNA". It matches the Rfam family "Bacterial small subunit ribosomal RNA", at positions 355 to 796 of the family's 1533-position model. The record is from RNAcentral.
UAAGGAAUAUUGCGCAAUGGGCGAAAGCCUGACGCAGCGACGCCGCGUGGGGGAUGAAGGUCUUCGGAUUGUAAACCCCUUUUGGGAGGGAAGAUGGGACGAGCAAUCGUCCGGACGGUACCUCCAGAAAAAGCCACGGCUAACUUCGUGCCAGCAGCCGCGGUAAUACGAAGGUGGCAAGCGUUGUUCGGAUUUACUGGGCGUAAAGGGAGCGUAGGCGGUUUGGUAAGCCCUCCGGGAAAUCUUCGGGCUCAACCCGGAAAGUUCAGAGGGGACUGCCAGGCUAGAGGACGGGAGAGGAGCGCGGAAUUCCCGGUGUAGCGGUGAAAUGCGUAGAGAUCGGGAGGAAGGCCGGUGGCGAAGGCGGCGCUCUGGAACGUUUCUGACGCUGAGGCUCGAAAGCGUGGGGAGCAAACAGGAUUAGAUACCCGCGUAGUCC